CAGAGGUGGCAAGCGUUGUUCGGAAUUACUGGGCGUAAAGGGCGCGUAGGCGGUCUUUUAAGUUCCGUGUGAAAUCCCUCGGCUCAACUGAGGAACCGCACGGGAAACUGGAAGGCUUGAGUUCGGGAGAGGGAAGCGGAAUUCCGGGUGUAGCGGUGAAAUGCGUAGAUAUCCGGAGGAACACCGGUGGCGAAGGCGGCUUCCUGGACCGACACUGACGCUGAGGCGCGAAAGCUAGGGGAGCAAACGGGAUUAGAUACCCCGGUAGUCCUAGCUGUAAACGAUGAGUGCUGGGUGUAGGGGGUAUUGACCCCCCUGUGCCGAAGCUAACGCAUUAAGCACUCCGCCUGGGGAGUACGGUCGCAAGGCUG
Molecule: ribosomal RNA, 371 nt
Filed under: uncultured organism
Description: bacterial SSU rRNA
Rfam family: Bacterial small subunit ribosomal RNA
Source: RNAcentral